This is a long non-coding RNA of Episyrphus balteatus (marmalade hoverfly), 1288 nucleotides long. RefSeq lists it as uncharacterized. The transcript is spliced from 2 exons. NCBI's taxonomy places the organism in Eukaryota, Metazoa, Arthropoda, Insecta, Diptera, Syrphidae. The record is from RefSeq and is a predicted model, not a curated record.
GGGUACUUGUAUGAAACAAAUUACAAACUGACACAUCAAUGUUCAGAUUUGAAAUUUUUUUAAUACAAGUACCGCUACCGCACACCUUGCGGUGUGGUCAAGCCUUAAUUCAUACCUGUAGGUGUUGCCGUUCUUUUUAAAUAUUUUGUACCUAUUCCCUUAAAAAACUUAUAACAAAUAUGUAAUUAAACUUUCUCAUUUAUUCAUAUUAAAUUUGUAAUUAUGGUAUUUAUAUCUUGAAUCUGGAAUAUACAACUCAUUUUCAAUUUGAAAACGAAGAAAUGGAACACUAUCAUAAAAAGUAACUUUUUAGUCAGUGAUUUGCAUCAAAUAUUCCAGUGUGCAAUUGGUUGAACGAAUGUGAAUAAAACGAACAACAAAAGAAAAAAAUACCUCAUAAGGGGUAAUCAAAACGAGUCCUACAAUAAAAAUAAGUGUGUAGUGACGUACCUACAAGUGUAUAUACAGUGUCAAAACUUAUAUAAUAUUAAUUUUUUAUUUGUAUUUGUGUGGUUGGGGUAUUUAAUGGAGAAUAUAAACUUAUAAUACAGCAACGGUUUCAGUCUGUCAUAGUUGUAGUUUUGUACUCUUCUAGCUGUAGAAACGCAGGGGAACUAUGUUCCAAAACAAAACAAAAACGAAAAAAAAAGAAAUAACAAACAAACGACUGAAACAAAGUCAUACUCGUGAAAGAGAUGCCACCAUCAACUUGUAAAUUUGUGUAGAAGGCUGAAAAUGAAAAAACCUCUCCAAAUUCAGUUGUUCGGUUUUGAACGAUCUUUACCGACGAACGGCUGCUAAGUGGGUACGUUAACGACUAGUACACCUUGUGACAAGAUAAAGUUUUUGUGUUCAUCUCGUCGUUUUUUUGCCGCGCCGUUACAGUAUUUAAUUAUUUUAAUUUUAUUUCGUUAAAAAAAUCUGAUUUUUAGUGUGUGAACCAUGUAGAUGCGAUUUGAUUAUGGCGGAGUGUGUACUUUGUUUUAUAAAAAAAAAAACGUACAUGACUUUUUUUCAUCAUCUACUUUUCGUAUUUCGGUUCUCGCGCGUGAAAAGCUUUUUUUUUUUUAUUUUCUUCCCAAAGUUCCAAUUUAUACAAUUUUUCUAUUAUAUUCAAUUAUAUUGCAAAAUGCAAAGAGAGUGAGAGAGAAACAAAUUAUUAGGGAAACACAUCUAAUUGUUUUAUUUUUUUUUACUUAAGAUGAAACAUUGGACCUAAUCGAUAGCAAAAGGAAAACUGUAAAAAGAAAAAGUCACAAAUAGUUAGAAAAAAAGAAAGUUUUUUUUU